ACGUUCCUACGGGGGGCAGCAGUGAGGAAUAUUGGUCAAUGGGCGGGAGCCUGAACCAGCCAAGCCGCGUGAGGGAAGAAGGUACAGCGUAUCGUAAACCUCUUUUGUCAGGGAACAAAGGCGGGGACUAGUCCCCGGAUGAGGGUACCUGAAGAAAAAGCAUCGGCUAACUCCGUGCCAGCAGCCGCGGUAAUACGGAGGAUGCGAGCGUUAUCCGGAUUUACUGGGUGUAAAGGGAGCGUAGACGGCGGAACAAGUCAGAAGUGAAAACCCGGGGCUCAACCCUGGGACUGCUUUUGAAACUG
This 305-nucleotide ribosomal RNA is filed under the name uncultured bacterium. RNAcentral describes it as "bacterial SSU rRNA". It matches the Rfam family "Bacterial small subunit ribosomal RNA", at positions 333 to 635 of the family's 1533-position model. The record is from RNAcentral.